This 1210-nucleotide ribosomal RNA is filed under the name Rhagoletis striatella. RNAcentral describes it as "partial 16S ribosomal RNA". The record is from RNAcentral. Lineage: Eukaryota; Metazoa; Arthropoda; Insecta; Diptera; Tephritidae.
GCAAAUCAAUAUAAAUUGAUUAAUAGUUAUUUAUUAAUUUAUUUUUUUUUAUUUAUAAUUUAUUAAAAAUAAUUAUAUAAUUUAAUGUUUUAGUAAUUUUUAAUGAAAAAAUAAUUAUAAUAAUAGUUGAUUAUGUAUUGUGAGAGGUAAUUGAAAUAUAUUGAAAAAUUUUUAUUUGAAAAGAAAAUUUUAUUUAUUGUACCUUUUGUAUCAGGGUUUAUCAAAUAAUUAAUAAUUAUUUAUUAAUCUCGAUUUUAUAAGAGUUAAUAGUUUAUGAAAGUUAAUGUGUCAAAAUUAUUUUUAAUAAAUUAUUAGAAAUGAAAUGUUAUUCGUUUAUAAAGGUAUCUAGUUUUUUUAGAAAUAAAUUUAAUUUACAAAUUUUUAAUUUUUUUUUUUAUUAUUUAAUUAAAAAAAUUAUUAAUUUGAAUGUUUUAAGGGAUAAGCUUUGAAACAAAAUGUUAAAAGUUAAUAAUUUAUUUAUAUAAAAUAUAUGUUUAGAAUUAGCAAUUAUUUAUAAAUUUGUUAUAAAUUAUUUUAUGAUUUUUAUUAUUUAUUAAUACUUUAAUUUUUUAUAAAAAUGUUUUUAUGAAUAAUAUAUAAGAGGCAAUAAUGAUGAAAUUAGUAUAUUUAUUGUAUAAAUAUUUUUAUAUGUUAAGUUUAUAUAAAGAACUCGGCAAAUAUUUGUACUCGCCUGUUUAACAAAAACAUGUCUUUUUGAGUUAUUUUUAAAGUCUAACCUGCCCAGUGAAUUAUUUAACGGCCGCAGUAUUUUAACUGUGCAAAGGUAGCAUAAUCAUUAGUCUUUUAAUUGAAGGCUGGAAUGAACGGUUGGACGAGGUAUAAACUGUUUCAUAUAAAUUUGUGAUAGAAUUUUAUAUUUUAGUUAAAAAGCUAAAAUUUCAUUAAAAGACGAGAAGACCCUAUAAAUCUUUAUAUCUAUUAUUAUUGUAAUUUUUUGGAUAUAUUUUAUUUUUAUAAUAAUAGAUAUUUUAUUGGGGUGAUAUUAAAAUUUAAUAAACUUUUAAUUUUAAAAAUUCAUUAAUUUAUGAUUAAUUGAUCCGUUAAUAGCGAUUAUAAGAUUAAGUUACUUUAGGGAUAACAGCGUAAUUUUUUUGGAGAGUUCUUAUUGAUAAAAAAGUUUGCGACCUCGAUGUUGGAUUAAGAUAUAUUUUUAGGUGUAGUUGCUUAUAAUUUAAGUCUGUUCGACUUU